GCCAGGUGUGGUGGCGCGUGCCUGUCAUCCCAGCUACUCAGGAGGCUGAGGCAGGAGAAUUGCUUGAACCCAGGAGGAGGAGAUUGCAGUGAGCCGAGAUUGUGCCAUGCACUCGAGCCUGGGUGACAGAGGGAGACUCAAAAAAAAAGGACAAUCCAAAGAAGAUUGGGAAUAUUAAAAUAAAGGUGUAGUGGAGGUGAAACUUUUUUUUUCUUUUGAGACGGAGUCUGGCUCUGUAGCACAGGCUGGAGUGCAGUGGUGCAAUCUUGGCUCACUGCAACCUCCACCUCCUGGGUUCAAGCAAUUAUCCUGCCUCAG
This is a non-coding RNA of Homo sapiens (human), 318 nucleotides long. It matches the Rfam family "Metazoan signal recognition particle RNA". From Rfam's summary of the family: The signal recognition particle (SRP) is a universally conserved ribonucleoprotein. It is involved in the co-translational targeting of proteins to membranes. The eukaryotic SRP consists of a 300-nucleotide 7S RNA and six proteins: SRPs 72, 68, 54, 19, 14, and 9. The record is from Rfam. Lineage: Eukaryota; Metazoa; Chordata; Mammalia; Primates; Hominidae.